GAUGAACGCUGGCGGCGUGCUUAACAUAUGCAAGUCGAACGGAAAGGCUCCUGCUUGCAGGGGUACUCGAGUGGCGAACGGGUGAGUAACACGUGGGUGAUCUGCCCUGCACUUCGGGAUAAGCCUGGGAAACUGGGUCUAAUACCGGAUAGGACCACAUUUUGGAUGGUGUGGUGGAAAGUUUUUCGGUGUGGGAUGAGCUCGCGGCCUAUCAGCUUGUUGGUGGGGUAAUGGCCUACCAAGGCGUCGACGGGUAGCCGGCCUGAGGGGGUGUACGGCCACAUUGGGACUGAGAUACGGCCCAGACUCCUACGGGAGGCAGCAGUGGGGAAUAUUGCACAAUGGGCGCAAGCCUGAUGCAGCGACGCCGCGUGGGGGAUGACGGCCUUCGGGUUGUAAACUCCUUUCGCUAGGGACGAAGCGCAAGUGACGGUACCUGGAGAAGAAGCACCGGCUAACUACGUG
This 465-nucleotide ribosomal RNA is filed under the name uncultured bacterium. RNAcentral describes it as "partial 16S ribosomal RNA". It matches the Rfam family "Bacterial small subunit ribosomal RNA", at positions 28 to 507 of the family's 1533-position model. The record is from RNAcentral.